RNAcentral lists this ribosomal RNA (426 nucleotides) under uncultured bacterium. RNAcentral describes it as "bacterial SSU rRNA". It matches the Rfam family "Bacterial small subunit ribosomal RNA", at positions 355 to 773 of the family's 1533-position model. The record is from RNAcentral.
UGGGGAAUUUUGGACAAUGGGGGCAACCCUGAUCCAGCCAUGCCGCGUGUGUGAAGAAGGCCUUCGGGUUGUAAAGCACUUUUGUCCGGAACGAAACGGUGGAGGCUAAUACCUUUCGCUAAUGACGGUACCGGAAGAAUAAGCACCGGCUAACUACGUGCCAGCAGCCGCGGUAAUACGUAGGGUGCAAGCGUUAAUCGGAAUUACUGGGCGUAAAGCGUGCGCAGGCGGUUUUGUAAGUCAGAUGUGAAAUCCCCGGGCUUAACCUGGGAACUGCAUUUGAAACUGCAAGGCUAGAGUGUGUCAGAGGGGGGUAGAAUUCCACGUGUAGCAGUGAAAUGCGUAGAGAUGUGGAGGAAUACCGAUGGCGAAGGCAGCCCCCUGGGAUAACACUGACGCUCAUGCACGAAAGCGUGGGGAGCAAAC